Molecule: long non-coding RNA, 2630 nt
Organism: Salvia miltiorrhiza (redroot sage)
Lineage: Eukaryota; Viridiplantae; Streptophyta; Magnoliopsida; Lamiales; Lamiaceae
Exons: 2
Source: RefSeq, a predicted model, not a curated record
GAUCGAACAAUUGCAUCUUAAAACACAUGAUUAAAGUGUUGGUGUGAAAUGUUUCAUGACAUAAUAUAUAUAGUGAAAUGUUACAUAUAUAUUCUAAUUAGAUCUUCAUAUAUCUCAACGUACAUAACUUCAAAUUGUUUAUUGUUUGUAUUACAAAUUAAACUUGAUUAGCAAAAUAUACUUUAAAACAUAAUUUUCUACAUUAAACAAGUCAAUAAUUAAUCAUAUUUUUAGGCAAAAUCGAUUGCUUUUAAUAAACGCGCAAAAGCCACCGUGACCAUGAUUGUGGGUAAGCCAUCGUGGUCACGAUGAGAGACACGAUCAUGUCAACGAUCAUGCCCACGGUCGUGUUCAUGAUUGUGUCCACUGUCCACGGUCGUGGACACGAUUGUGCCCUUGACUGUGGACACGAUGGUGGACAACGGUUGUGAUUUGACCUGAUUAUUAGACACCAACAUCCAUGUAACACAAAACCAAUCAAAUUCAAUUUAAAUGAGCAUUAAAAUAUAUAUAAAUGACAUUCCAGAGAUCAUGGUCUGUCGUGCCUACAAUGGUGGAUCACGAUCGUGCCCUCGACUGUGGACACAAUUAUUGGCAUGAUCGUGUCCACGGUCGUGGGCAUAUGUUAGGGCUGCACGGAAAAUGAAGAGAGAGUAUGUUGACUUUUUCAAAAAGUGGUGGGGAUAUAAAGGGUCUUUUAGUCCUUUUACAAAUUUUGGUAUGCAAAAGAAUGAGUUUUGAAGAGGGGAUAUAUAACUUAUUAGUUUUAUGGUGUGGUGUUUAUUUAUCGGUUUCCACUAUUUUAUUUAAAUGCAAUAAUAUUUAAUAAUUCUUUGAAGAAUUUUUCAAAAAGUAAACAAAAUUAUAAUAAAAAAAAUAAGUUAAAGAGCAUGUUUCUUUUAUUUUUUUGAACUUAUAUAUUUAAAAAGCUUAUCAAGAUACUCGAACUCAUUACAAAGCUUAUUAAAAAGUGAUUUUUCUAAACUAGCAUGUGAUCUACGUGCAGCGCACGGGAAACGUUUUCAUUUUUCUAUAUUUAUAUAAAACUGAUACCAACUCAAUUAUCAUAUUCAUAUCAUAUGGGUUAAUUGCCAGUAAAUCCAUAACGUUUUCUCGGAAUUGGUUUUUGCUCCCAAUUUGAAAAAUCGACUUCUAAAUCCACAACAUUUUAUUUUUGUCUCAAAUUUAUCCCGUGACCAAUUUUUCUUACGCUGGUGCUGAAAAUAAUACGGUGGCAGCCGGAAUUGACACGGUGGCAAAUUUAUGACAUGUGGAAAAAAAAAUUAAAAAAACAAUAAAAAUAAAAAACCCACAUCAUCAUCUUCCCAAACCUCCCCACUCCCAAACCCUAAUUUUCCCUCCCCCCACCCGUCGCCGCCGACAACCGCCGCCAUCUCACCUCUCAACCUCUCAUGUCUCCCUCUUCUUCGGUAAACCCUCUACCUCCAGAAAUCUUCAGCGGUGGAAAAGGUGUAAAUCGGGUAAAUUGAGCUUUCCCACGCCGCCUGUUUCGAUUUCUCGCUUUCUUCAACCAUCGUUUUCAUUCCUCGCUAAUUUCUGCAGAUUUGUGUUUUGGGAUGUGAAGUGGAAACGAGAGUUGAGGUUUAGACGAGAAAUCGUACAAUAUGUCAAUUAGGAUCGGAGUCGAAGCAGAUGCCAAGUUUCACAGUGACGGCGGCGAAGAUUUAAUGAAAAUGCACAAGACGACGUCAGAUCAGAUGAAACUGCCAUUCUUUUCGACUAAAUUGGAUUUCAACACAGACGACGCUGCAUCCAGCUGCAAGCACUUGGAUUUGAAUAGUUUCAGCUGGACCUGAUUUCCACACGCCGGCAGUGGCAUGGGGCGGCGGCGCCAGCGUAUGGUGGCGGCUAGUGGGGAGAGGAGAAAUUAAGGUUUGGGAGUGAGGGAGGUUGGGGAAGAUGAUGAUGGUCUCUAUUAAACCUUCAAAUCCUGACACGUUCUUGUGGAAAGGGGCAAGCGAUGGGAAUAUUUCAACCAAAGAGAUGUAUUCCUUGAUUCACAGAGCAUCAUUUAACGAGGACAACAUUCCGGUUGCUUUCCGUUACAUCUGGUUGAGGUUCAUUCCAAGGUGUCUUCUUUCACGUGGAGGGCUCUUCAGAUACAAUCCCUACAAGAUGCCUAUUUUGUCAAGCCCUUGAAGGAAACUCCGACCAUGUUCUUGUCUCUUGCCAGUUUGUCGAUUCAAUUUGAAAGAGUAUUUGUUGUUGGCUCAAGGUUCCAUUACUCUCUUCAAGCUUUCUUUUGGAUCACCAUUGUGAGUUUGUCAACUUGGAAAAGAAUAAAGAUGCAAAGAUGAUGUUCAAUGUCAUUUGGUAAUGCGUUUGUUGGAAGAUCUGGAAAGGAAAAAACGAUAAGAUUUUUAACGAAGGGUGUCCGAAUACUGGUAGGAUUGUUGAUGGCAUUAUUAUUUGUAGUUGGAGGUGGUUCAGGGCGAACUCUCCUUUUGAUUUCUGUGUUUCUUUUCAUUGUUGGUUCUCCGAUCUCACUAGAUGCUUCCCUUCUAGGAUUUCCUAGAUGUAUUUUGUUGGUGUUUAUGGACACCCGUCCUUGUACUUCCUGAUCUUGAAUACUCCUUGUACUCUUUUUAUUUUUAAAUAUAUAUUUUUUU